GGGGAUGUUUUGGUUUUGACAGCAUCGAUGUCGGAUGGUAAGCACGCCGGGGGUCGUGGCCUUCCCCGUAAAUCUCAGACCUCAAAAAACUAGUUGGCAACAACAAUUACGCACUCGCUGCCUAAUCUACAUGUAGUUUAGCUUAAUCCGUGUCGCCAAGGCUGCGGCACCGACGAGUAUCCCGCCAUUCUUCAGGCCGGUCAUGAAUGGCACCCGGGGUAUCAUCCAGACCGGAUGCACGGCUCAGACGCCUCUAAGAGCCGCAAAGACACAGAGGAUAAGCUGCGGUCAAGGGCGUCUUCCCUCAUGCCGCCGCCGACAACCAAAGGAAGACUAAACGUGUAGAAAGCCCUCUGGUGCGUUGUUUGGACGGCGGUUCGAGUCCGCCCAUCUCCACUG
Molecule: transfer-messenger RNA, 399 nt
Filed under: Bacteroidales
Lineage: Bacteria; Pseudomonadati; Bacteroidota; Bacteroidia
Also listed under: 1 other name
Description: Cryptobacteroides sp018066125 Standard tmRNA
Rfam family: transfer-messenger RNA
About the family: Bacterial tmRNA, also known as 10Sa RNA or SsrA, is named for its dual tRNA and mRNA-like properties.
Source: RNAcentral